Molecule: ribosomal RNA, 253 nt
Filed under: uncultured bacterium
Lineage: Bacteria
Description: partial 16S ribosomal RNA
Rfam family: Bacterial small subunit ribosomal RNA
Source: RNAcentral
UACGAAGGGGGCGAGCGUUGUUCGGAUUUACUGGGCGUAAAGGGCGCGUAGGCGGCCGAUCAAGUCAGGCGUGAAAGCCCCGGGCUCAACCUGGGAAUGGCGCUUGGGACUGGUUGGCUUGAGUUCGGGAGAGGAGAGUGGAAUUCCCAGUGUAGAGGUGAAAUUCGUAGAUAUUGGGAAGAACACCGGUGGCGAAGGCGGCUCUCUGGACCGGUACUGACGCUGAGACGCGAAAGCCAGGGGAGCAAACGGG